This 1372-nucleotide ribosomal RNA is filed under the name uncultured bacterium. RNAcentral's name for it is "bacterial SSU rRNA". It matches the Rfam family "Bacterial small subunit ribosomal RNA", at positions 28 to 1381 of the family's 1533-position model. The record is from RNAcentral.
GAUGAACGCUGGCGGCGUGCCUAAUACAUGCAAGUCGAGCGAACGGACGAGAAGCUUGCUUCUCUGAUGUUAGCGGCGGACGGGUGAGUAACACGUGGAUAACCUACCUAUAAGACUGGGAUAACUUCGGGAAACCGGAGCUAAUACCGGAUAAUAUUUUGAACCGCAUGGUUCAAAAGUGAAAGACGGUCUUGCUGUCACUUAUAGAUGGAUCCGCGCUGCAUUAGCUAGUUGGUAAGGUAACGGCUUACCAAGGCAACGAUGCAUAGCCGACCUGAGAGGGUGAUCGGCCACACUGGAACUGAGACACGGUCCAGACUCCUACGGGAGGCAGCAGUAGGGAAUCUUCCGCAAUGGGCGAAAGCCUGACGGAGCAACGCCGCGUGAGUGAUGAAGGUCUUCGGAUCGUAAAACUCUGUUAUUAGGGAAGAACAUAUGUGUAAGUAACUGUGCACAUCUUGACGGUACCUAAUCAGAAAGCCACGGCUAACUACGUGCCAGCAGCCGCGGUAAUACGUAGGUGGCAAGCGUUAUCCGGAAUUAUUGGGCGUAAAGCGCGCGUAGGCGGUUUUUUAAGUCUGAUGUGAAAGCCCACGGCUCAACCGUGGAGGGUCAUUGGAAACUGGAAAACUUGAGUGCAGAAGAGGAAAGUGGAAUUCCAUGUGUAGCGGUGAAAUGCGCAGAGAUAUGGAGGAACACCAGUGGCGAAGGCGACUUUCUGGUCUGUAACCGACGCUGAUGUGCGAAAGCGUGGGGAUCAAACAGGAUUAGAUACCCUGGUAGUCCACGCCGUAAACGAUGAGUGCUAAGUGUUAGGGGGUUUCCGCCCCUUAGUGCUGCAGCUAACGCAUUAAGCACUCCGCCUGGGGAGUACGACCGCAAGGUUGAAACUCAAAGGAAUUGACGGGGACCCGCACAAGCGGUGGAGCAUGUGGUUUAGUUCGAAGCAACGCGAAGAACCUUACCAAAUCUUGACAUCCUUUGACAACUCUAGAGAUAGAGCUUUCCCCUUCGGGGGACAAAGUGACAGGUGGUGCAUGGUUGUCGUCAGCUCGUGUCGUGAGAUGUUGGGUUAAGUCCCGCAACGAGCGCAACCCUUAAGCUUAGUUGCCAUCAUUAAGUUGGGCACUCUAAGUUGACUGCCGGUGACAAACCGGAGGAAGGUGGGGAUGACGUCAAAUCAUCAUGCCCCUUAUGAUUUGGGCUACACACGUGCUACAAUGGACAAUACAAAGGGCAGCGAAACCGCGAGGUCAAGCAAAUCCCAUAAAGUUGUUCUCAGUUCGGAUUGUAGUCUGCAACUCGACUACAUGAAGCUGGAAUCGCUAGUAAUCGUAGAUCAGCAUGCUACGGUGAAUACGUUCCCGGGUCU